CUACGACACUGAUAUAUUUCCAGUCCGACAGAUGAUCAUUGAAGCAGCUGACAACAUUUUCAUGCUUGGCUGAUUUUUGCAGAGCGACAUAGAAUUGAUAAUGGAACUUUCAAAGCGGUGCUGGUUCAGCCUCAUUUGCUAAAUGGCGAUCCCUCAGUGAGCUGUCAUAGGGGUCUCGUGCUACGUACGCCAACGUUGCAGAACCCGAGACAUCCACUCGAUCAGUUUGAAAAGGUGGACUUCUCGUUAAGCUGUGAACGAAAGCUGUUAUCACCCCUAACGAGGCAGAAACAGAGCGAAUCUUGGGCAAGCAGCAGAAAUUGCUCCCAUCGAAGCUCUCGAGACUGCAGCUGUAUACGAGAUACGUACCUAGGCCGACCAAGCAGUAGGCAAGGUCUAGCCCCGCUUGUCCGGCUCGACUCCGAUGAGGGUGGAAAGGGUAGAGAAGACGACGAUACGGGCCCGGAGGAGACGCGGACGCCUUUACUUAAGAGUGUUAGCAGCACGUAAAACUGUGACAGCACGAGGAAUAACUAGCUCGCCACGAAGCCUUGUCGCCUGCCUAGCUCGACAUCACGUUUAAUAGUAGCAUAGACCGGUUAUCCACGAAGGAUAAAGUAAUGCCACCUGCUUUUCAAAGCUUCGAUAAGAAAAAAUCUAUAUUUCUGAUCACCUUAUCAGUUUGAUUUCAAAACGUUAAGAUCAAAAAAAAACAAAAUCCGACGUUUGAAAGCCAGGCAAUAGAACCUGAAUGCAGCCUGCAGGGACAAUUUCUAGAACAUUAAUGCUGUUUAGAUCUAUAUAAGCUUUCAGCCAUCGAUGAGAACUAUCUAUUGCAACUAAAUAGAGGCAGAGGAAAAGCCAAGAGCAUUUGUAAGUGACCUAAAAUUGUGCAUAUGUCCGAAUAUCGCAGUCAUCAAGGUCGGACACGCUCCCGAGCUUUUGUAGAUAGUAGCUCUCAAAUAUUACGCGACGGAAUUCUAGUCACGAACGGUUCGCUAACAUAACGAUGCUAACACACGGUUCUUUUUUUGUGCAUAACUACAUUAAACUAAUAGUACUUUCCUCUUAUUGCAUUGCCGCUUGCCUGUCGUAUCUCACUUAUAGUCAUUCGAACAGUUCCUUAACCCAAAUGCUAUAAGCAUGUACCCAUUCUUGGCUUCUAAGAGCUAAAUACUGGACUCGAUGAUCCCGUUUCCAUGAUUUUCAACAAGCAAAUGUAACGUUUUUUGUAUAUAGUACAUACUAUGCACACGGUAUUGCAAUACAUAAGAGUUGUCGGCAGUUUCCACUGUACAGGUGGGUGUUCGAGUGCUAAACCUGAAGGUCCACUUGAAGGUGUGUCAACUUUCCACCUACGCAGAGACAUGUAAUCGUUGGCCAUAUUAUACCACUAUAUUUAUAGUAUUAUAGUAGUUCAUAUAUAUAUAUAUAUAUAUAUAUAUAGGAAUUACUAUAGUACUGAUCUGAUAAAGCAGAACUGUUUGUGUCAUGGGUGGAACAUGCGUUUUGUAUGCGAUGUAUUUAAAAGAUUACUAUACCAGAACGCUUUUCCCUCUCAUGGAAGCUGGGUGAAUAGCAAAGCGAAUUACGUACUAUUUCCGUUUCAUACAGCUUUCACAUUCAGCGGUAUGCGCCUUUAGAAAAAUAAUUUUGUUUCGUCUGAAAAACCUAUAACGUUUCGAAAUUUAGACAUUUUAUUAACUAGUAGAGGACAUCUACGCGGUUUAAAUCAGCUUCAAACAAUUGUUAAGGAAAUUUUGUAAAUGCUGCUUAGAAUUGGGCAAUGAAAUGGCCUAUAGUUACGUCAUGUGAUUAUUAUUAAAAAAAAAAAAAAAUAUUUAAUUUUGGCACACAUUUUAAAGCAGCGACCUAGUAGUGCCUAAGAUUAGACUGAACUGUAUUUUGUUCGCCAUCUUAAAGGCGACCAACGGGUUUAUUUGCUAAAUUUCUGAAUUACUUACGAAUGCUCUAUAGCAACCGUUGAUAAAAGGUGUCAGUAUCUCGAGCGGCAGCUUCUCGUCGCCACCUUUGCCGUUCUCCUUUCAAUGGCGCGAAGUAACAAUACCCUUCGUUUUUCGGUAAUAACCUCUUCAGAGGAGAUGGUUCCACCGCUUGCCGCCUUGCUCUACCAUUUCCGUUUUUCUCGUUCGAUCACCUUGGUCCUCGUUACAAAUCUGGCUUGCCCUUCUCUCCAAUUCACGUCCCUGUCCCCCCUUGCCGUCGUCCGAAAGCGACAUCCCGAGGACUUCAUGCUCUGUUCUUUUCAGUCCUCCUGCAAAUCGACCUCCUUGCUUUGCCUCUUUCCCGUCUCGUAAAAAUUAUGACAUACCAACGUAACGCUCGCCGAAAUGCCGGCAGGAGCGAGGAAAAGGGACUGAAAGUCGUCCAGCCGAUCUUCUUCCCAAAAGCUUCGUCUGCCUAUUAUCUUAUGAUCAGCGGCAUGCGGGAUGAGGUUUUAUCUGUUCCUAGCAGGCACUUUCUCUGUCCGAUAUUCUUCUCUGUCGAUGUCGCAAUUGCAACGCCAGAAACACCACUGCGGCGGUGCAACGACACCGUUGGCGGCAUCGUUGUCAAGGGCUUGUCGAGGGCACUCUCGAAUACACGCGUAUCAAGGCCUUCUGGCCAUCCAUCGCCUGACAAAAAGGAACAGCGCGCUGGUGAUCCUCGACUGGAGAAAGAAACGCGGCAGGGAUCAAUGUCUCCCUUUUUCUACGGCCUGAGAGCAGAGUGUAUAGACGGACUCUUUAGAGGAAGUUGGUUUUUCUGCUUGGGUAAGGCUAUGACUGGUUUGUAGGGAGGCGUUCAAGACGAAGAAAAAAAAAGAUAUACAUUUUUACUUAAGCUACGGGGGUUGCUGAAAUGUAAAAAAGGUGAGAGAGGUCGAAGUUACAUGAAGCUGGGAACUAGGGUAUAAGGGUUUCCAUUUGAGAAAGCAGUGUCGACCAGGCAUCGGUUUUGGCGAACCAUCGCCCGCACAACGCACUCCCGAUUCUCCUGCGUUACUUCAUACUACGCCAAUGUUUGCCAAGGUGGGCCUUAACACGCAAUUUUCGCAAGAAACGCGCCCUCCUUGCAGCUAGGAGUUUGGAGGAGCCACAUUCCGCCGAGCUAUUUCGACAGGCAGGAGGGCCAAAUCAUAGACAUAAAAAAAGACACAAGCUCUAUUGCGAACAAGAGUGAACACGAUGCUCUACGUUAAAAGCACAAACGGACUAUACAUUAAUAUAAAGAAUUCUCGUACACAGAAGGAUAGCUAGUAAUAGAUAGAGAAAUGUAGAUGAUGAUCACGUGGAGCUUUCUCCAAGUAUAACGUACUUAACCAGAUGUUUCAUAAAUUCAUUAGCCAAGCAAACUAGUUAAGAGCCACUAAAAUAUAAAGAUAUUCAAGCGAAAAAGUUACUAGCAUGCAUACAUGAUAAAUCAGCAACUUUAAAUCCUCGCGGGGUGCUAUAGGUAUUCCGUUCCAAUCCUCUGCUGUUUUGGUAUUUUUUGUAAGCUUUAUGUAAACGGCCUG
Molecule: long non-coding RNA, 3517 nt
Filed under: Varroa destructor (honeybee mite)
Lineage: Eukaryota; Metazoa; Arthropoda; Arachnida; Mesostigmata; Varroidae
Description: uncharacterized LOC111245684
Source: RNAcentral